UUACAAGAGUAAUAACCCUGUGGAGCACCGAAUGAAUGAAUUAUUUGUUUUUUUUUCUCAGCUGCGUACAUCAUAUGUAAACGUAGGUUAUUAAUGACCUUCCGUACGGGUUUUAACUGACUCUAGCAAAUUGACAAAUUGUGCUCCUUCGGAAAGGACCGUUGGGCGUAAUGCGAAAGGAACUCAUCUGACUUUUAAAUUACAGAGACAUAGAUCCCUAACAGGUAGAACCUAUUUUUAUGGGUUCACAUAUAAGCGACACAUAUCUCUCACCAACUGAAGUUAGAGGAAGCUAUAGUAUAAGUUAGAUGAGCCUCCUCCGCGUAACGACGACGACGUGCACGUGCACACAGUCGUGUGCUUUUGCUGCUAAGAAAAUACGAAAGAUAUAAAUAUAUGGCUGGCUUUUCUCUUCCUUCUUUUUGUUGCUCGGGUAAAAUCAAUUUUCCGCUUGUCGAUCGCUAGCUAGCUAGUAGCUAGUCGACGACUAGUCUAGCUCCUAUAUCAAACAAUAACUUUUUGAGAAGAAGUUGACAAUAUAUGUUAGCAUAUUUCAAACUAUAUAUUGCGUAAAUAUGUGCAGUACUGAUUAUUUGUGAUCCAGAGAAGUAUACAAAGUAAUGUAAUCUGGGAUUUGAUAAGUACAAAUUGGGACGUACGGCGAGAGGCGUGGGACCGGUACAAAAGCGAGAUUAUGGCAGAGAGAGGCUGCAGAAAUCGUGGCUGCUCAUGCGUGGAAAUCUAACCUUUUAUGUAACUAUAAAACUCAUUAAAUACAAAUCUAUAAGUUUACAUGUAAAUAUUCCCUCCGUUUCUAAAUGUUUGACACUUUUUAAGCACAUGUUUGAUCAUUCGUUUUAUUAAAAAAAUUUAUGAAAUAUGUAAAAUUAUAUAUAUACAUGAAAGCAUAUUUAACAAUAAAUCAAAUGAUAGGAAAAUAAUUAAUAAUUACUUAAAUUUGACGACGACCUCGCCGAUUCACCGUAGAUCUCCAGUGCUAUUAAUUAUUGCGCUGCGAGGAUUGCUGAAGUUUUGUUUUGUGCGGGUGCAGCUUCAAUUAACGAUGGCGCGCGCUCACCUUCUCAGGCCUUGAGGCCCUUGAGAAUCCUCGGCUGUAAGUUUUUGGUUAGUUUCCUGCUUCUUGAUGAAUCGGAAAGCAGUGCUAAAUCGACUGAUUCGGCACCGAUGAUUGAUUGUAGAAUUGUAUUGUAAAUUUCUGAAUUGGAGCCUAUAUAUUGUAGGAUCUAGUGUUUUAUUUUGGCAUGCGCGUCAAAAACGAUUUUCACAUGCAUGCAUGUGCUUAACAGCCUAAAAAAAAUGUCGAAUUUUUAUGAUCGUUCAGUUACAGGCAGGCCACGGAUCUGCAUGCGAAAAUACAUUUUUGACUAUUUGAAAAAAAAUGCUCUUUGCAGUAGUGAAAGGCUGUUCAAAAUUAAAACAUAUCAACGCACUACUACAAAAGUGAUUUUUCUGUGCGAGACCCCAUGAUUUUUGCAAACGGACCAUAACUAGUGGCGCCUGCAAAAAUCGCGCGGCAUUUUCGCAAACAGCUCCUUAAGAAGCCCGUAUGGAAAAAUCGAUUUUCCCAUACGGGUCUCUUAAGAGGUCCGCAUGCAAAAAUGAUGUCAUGGAAAGAUGGAAAGAUGGUUCUCAGCCGUAUGGAAAAACCCUAUCUAUAGUAGUGCGUUAAAGUACUUAGAAAAACAUAUCAUGUGAGGAACUAAUAAAGUCAAAAGUAGAAUUUUAAUGACCAUGCAUGAUAAAUCGAGCCUUAAUAGAUAGAUGGAGUAUAGCCGGUGUGAUCAACAACGGCUGUGGCUAAUGGGCGAUCGAUCCCCAUCCCCUGUACACUCCUCUCCCCCCCCUCCAUCCUCCUCCCCUUCUUCUCUUCCUACUACACCAUAAAUUUUUUAAAAAAUAAAAAAACAAAGUUGGAAAAAUUUAUUUAUAUAAAUAACUGGUGGAGAAAGGGUUUAUAGUCCCGGUUGAUAACCCUCUGUAGUCCUGGUUUUUUAACCGGGAUUACGAAUCCGGGACUAAAAAUGUCCAUCUUUAGUCCCGAUUGAAAUAACCGGAACUAAAAAUGCAUCUUUAGUCCCGGUUCGUAACACCAACCGGGACUAAAUCUUUAGUUCCUAUUAAUGUAAUCAACCGGGACUAAAUGUUUUUUUCUUUUUUUUCUUUUCUCAUGUUCAAUAUUUCCAAAUCACUAUAAAAAUAAAAGAUAAAAAAUCACAAUCACAGUCACACCACAAAACACAAAUAAUAGAUAGCAUGGAUCACAGAUAGUUCACAUAUUACAUAUCUCCCAACAUCAUUCACAAAUCACAGAUCGCAUCACAAAUCACCGAUCGCAUCACAAAUCACAGAUCUAACAAAUCACAGCCAUUCACAUCACAUUAAGAAGGAAAAAAAGAAAAAAAAGGUAAAAUAUCCCAUGCCGGCCACCGCCGGUGCGGGGGCCGCCUGCCACCGCCUCCGCGCCUCCGCCGCCUGCCCUCCGCGCGGGCAGCCGCCGCCGCCGGGCCCUCCGCGCGGGGCAGCCGCUGCCGGCAGCCCUCCGUACCUCCGCCGCCUGCCGCCGCCAGGACGGCCCUCCGCGCCGGCCGCCGCCAAGAAGACAGGGGAGAGGGGAAGGGGAGGAGGAGAAGGAGGAAGAGGAGAAGGACUGAGGAGGAGAACUAGUGGAGGGGCAGAAAAGCUAAGGAUAAGACUGAGGAGGGACAGACAGAUCGACGCGCCAAGAGAUAAACAUCGCGCCGGCUUGGGGUGAUUUUUAGUCCCGGUUGGUAUAAUCAAUCGGGACUAAAAAUCUAUCUGUAGUCCUGGUUGUUUAUACCAACUGCGACUAAAAAUAAUAGGGACCUGACACGACCUGACAACUUCUUCAACCGGGACUAAAAAUGAUCUUUGUCCUGGUUGGUAACACCAACCGAGACUAAAGAUCAAAAAAUACCCCUCAGCUUUUAAACCGGGACUAAAGAUGUUUUUUAGUCCCGGUUUUUAUUGGAACUGGGACUAUUGUGGAAUUUGGCCGACCGACCAAUAAUGGUUUCUCCACCGCCGGGGCGGCCCUCCGCGCCGGGGCAGCCCUCCGCGCCGGCCGCCGCCAAGAAGACAGGGGAGAGGGGAAGGGGAGGAGGAGAAGGAGGAAGAGGAGAAGGACUGAGGAGGAGAACUAGUGGAGGGGAAGAAAAGCUAAGGAUAAGACUGAGUAGGGACAGACAGAUCGACGCGCCAAGAGAUAAACAUCGCGCCGGCUUGGGGUGAUUUUUAGUCCCGGUUGGUAUAAUCAAUCGGGACUAAAAAUCUAUCUGUAGUCCCGGUUGUUUAUACCAACUGCGACUAAAAAUAAUAGGGAGCUGACACGACCUGACAACUUCUUCAACCGGGACUAAAAAUGAUCUUUGUCCCGGUUGGUAACACCAACCGAGACUAAAGAUCAAAAAAUACCCCUCAGCUUUUAAACCGGGACUAAAGAUGCUUUUUAUUCCCGGUUUUUAUUGGAACUGGGACUAUUGUGGAAUUUGGCCGACCGACCAAUGAUGGUUUCUCCACCAGUGAAUACUAUAUAUAAAAAAUAUUUAAAUUUAAAUUUAAAUUUGAAACGGGUAUGUAAACUUUUGACUUAUAAACUUUUGGUCUAUAAACUAAUAUUUGAAUUCAAAAUCAAAUUUGAAUCGGGUAUGUAAACUUUUUGACUUAUAAACUUUGGGUCUAUAAACUUUAUGUGUAUAAACUUUAUGUGUAUAAACUUUAGAUGUAUAGGAAUACUAUAUAUAAAAAUAUUUGAAUUCAAAUUCAAAUUUGAAUAGGAUAUAAUUCAAAUUGAAAUUUGAAUCGAAUAUGUAAACUUUUGACUUAUAAACUUUUGUUCUAUAAACUUUAGCUGUAUAAACUUUAAAUGUAUAGAAAUACUAUAUAUAAAAAAUAUUUGAAUUCAAAUUCAAAAUUGAAUCAGAUAUAAUUCAAAUUCAAAUUUGAAUCGGGUAUAUAAACUUGACUUAUAAACUUUGGGUCUAUAAACUUUAGUUCUAUAAACUUUAGAUGUAUAGAAAUACUGUAUAUAAAAAAUAUUUGGAUUUAAAUUCAAAUUUGAAUCGGAUAUAUAAACUUUUGAUUUAUAAACUUUGAAUCUCUAAACUUUAGAUGUGUAAACUUGAGGUGUACAAACUUUAGGUGUAUAAUAAUUUUAUUAAAAUAGAAAAGUAAUGCGGUGCCAAAAAAAAGGAAACCACGUCGAGGAGAGGGAGGCGACCCGAUCGCUAGGGGCGAUCGCCCAUUAGGAGUUUCGAUCAACAGAUGCACUAGUGAAAAAAAAAAGGAAGUGGAAGAAGAGACCUGCUGGCUGGUCGACUGCAAGAACCCCUGAUUCCAGCACGAGUAGUACAACAACGAGAGCCAAGAGCCCCAUGGAGUCUUGAAUUCCUGAUAAUUAACCCAGGAGCGAUCUAUCGGAGUUUCGACCAUGACCAAUAACUAGCUAUAUCUCCACUGCAUACACUAAGUAUGUUGAGACAUGCCGACUGGCG
This 4532-nucleotide long non-coding RNA is filed under the name Oryza sativa (Asian cultivated rice). RNAcentral describes it as "long non-coding RNA (OSAT_LNC001634)". The record is from RNAcentral. Lineage: Eukaryota; Viridiplantae; Streptophyta; Magnoliopsida; Poales; Poaceae.